GGGGCUGUGGCGCAGUUGGGAGCGCGCCUGCAUGGCAUGCAGGAGGUCGCCGGUUCAAUCCCGGCCAGCUCCACCA
Molecule: transfer RNA, 76 nt
Filed under: Nitrospira sp.
Lineage: Bacteria; Pseudomonadati; Nitrospirota; Nitrospiria; Nitrospirales; Nitrospiraceae
Also listed under: 6 other names
Description: tRNA-Ala
Rfam family: tRNA
About the family: Transfer RNA (tRNA) molecules are approximately 80 nucleotides in length. Their secondary structure includes four short double-helical elements and three loops (D, anti-codon, and T loops).
Source: RNAcentral